UACGUAGGGUGCGAGCGUUAAUCGGAAUUACUGGGCGUAAAGCGUGCGUAGGUGGUUUGUUAAGUCUGUUGUGAAAGCCCCGGGCUCAACCUGGGAAUGGCAAUGGAUACUGGCAGGCUAGAGUGCGGUAGAGGGUAGUGGAAUUCCCGGUGUAGCGGUGAAAUGCGUAGAGAUCGGGAGGAACACCAGUGGCGAAGGCGGCUACCUGGACCAGCACUGACACUGAGGCACGAAAGCGUGGGGAUCAAACAGG
RNAcentral lists this ribosomal RNA (253 nucleotides) under uncultured bacterium. RNAcentral describes it as "partial 16S ribosomal RNA". It matches the Rfam family "Bacterial small subunit ribosomal RNA", at positions 524 to 776 of the family's 1533-position model. The record is from RNAcentral.